This 717-nucleotide long non-coding RNA is filed under the name Prunus persica (peach). RNAcentral's name for it is "long non-coding RNA (PPER_LNC000492)". The record is from RNAcentral. Lineage: Eukaryota; Viridiplantae; Streptophyta; Magnoliopsida; Rosales; Rosaceae.
UGAGAUAAAUUAUGAAAGUCCUCAUCAGUCUGAGGCAAGAAAAGAACUUACUUGGGAGAUAUUUCUCACCCAAAUUCACAAUCAUCUGUUUUAGAAGUCAGUAACUUGGGGCGCAAGUUAUCCACUCUAAAAGACGUCUGCUAGAAUUUACAUUGCUAGUAGUGGCACGCUCAUGCACCAAAGAAAGCUGACUUAUCGACCAAACAAAUGGUCUCCAAGCCAGUGGGGAACUUCGCCCUUCCACCUCAGGAGUAGACACGAAAACGGGUGAACAACGAUCAGUUUGCUUUUCCUGAUGAACAACUCCCUUUGCUCCCUACUUAUCUCUUGGAAAGGUAACCUUCUUUGGUGCAGAGCUUCUCUGUAUGCGAAAAGUGGAUUUGAUCUUCUUUCCCUGGCUACAGAAAAAAUGGAGAAGUCCUCUUGUAAGACCUGCCUUUAUUAACUCCCUAUCAACUCCUCUAUGAUAGUUGAAAAUUUUGACUUUUCCCAAGUUAGAAAGUCACGUGGGGACUAUGUUGAGAAAAAAGAUCUGUUGAUUUGCCUUUUUUAGGGUAGAGAUCAAAUGGUGUGAAUUUUUCAGGAGCUGGGCUUUUAUCCAAAGCUGUGCGUGUCAGUUUUUUUAAUUGCCAAUAAUGGUUUUUUUUUUUCUUCAGAUCAUGACUAUAUUUGUAAUUUGCUCAAAAAGGUCUGGGCUUUUUUAGCAUCUUGGUUUUG